Bacillus rossius redtenbacheri is the source of this 5940-nucleotide RNA transcript. It is a transcript of the gene named cilia- and flagella-associated protein 52, with no coding region annotated. The record is from RefSeq and is a predicted model, not a curated record. NCBI's taxonomy places the organism in Eukaryota, Metazoa, Arthropoda, Insecta, Phasmatodea, Bacillidae. The transcript has 14 exons.
AUGGCGCAUUUGACUUGAUUGGUUUGUUUAUAAAUGGCGGUGUAGUCGCGUAGUGUUUGAAAUAUUUUGUUCGUCCAUCACAAUUUCUGUAUAAUGGCGAAGGAAAUUGAAGUGGAGGAAGUUGAAAACUUAGAACUACUGUCUGUCAUCGGUUUUGAUGGUAAUAAAAUCUUGCUUUAGAGGAGUUUAAUUGCAACUGCUUAAUUUUUUUAUACAGCUGUACAAAUCAGAUUUGCUUAAGCAGCCUAGUUUUAAAUUUAAAGUUGAGUUUUAAAAAUCUACGCAAGGAGGCAUAAUAUAAACAAAAUGAGAGGCAUAACACCGAAUGGUCUGCUGCUACACCCGGAUAUGUGCCAUUUAAUUUAUCCCCUGGGCUCGAAGAUUGUCGUCCAGAACCGGGCGACCAAGCGGCAGGAGUUCCUCUGCGGGCACACCAACUUCAUUACUGCCCUCGACAUUUCGCCUGACGGCAAAAUGAUAGCUUCGGGCCAGCUUAACCACAUGGGUUUCGCUGCGAGUGUUAGACUCUGGGACUUUGAGAAACGCGAGGAGAUCAUGAAACAUGAGCUUCACAAGGUGCGAGUGGAAUCUCUAGCGUUCUCCUGCGACAGCAAGUUGUUGACGUCUCUUGGUGGACGCGAUGAUUCCUAUGUUAUUGUGUGGGACAUUGAAAACAACGAAGCUUUGUGCGGAAGUCUGUCGGUCACAGGGACGUCUGGCGAUGCGACAGUUCUGUGCAGAAGCUCGAAUAAACCUAAGUCGUUUUGUUCUGCGGGCAUGAACAACUUACGAGUGUGGACGAUACAUCCCGUGACCAGAAGUCUUUCGGCAAGUGAUGUUGCCAUGGGCAUGAUACGAAGAAUUGUUCUGUGUCUUGUGGUAGACAGCAGGGACGAGUACCUGUAUUGCGGCACCACGACAGGGGACAUAAUGAAGGUGAAAAUCAACUACAGCGACGGCGAGACAGCCAAGCACCCUGUGCUCGUGGGAUGUCUCGCCAAGUUCGUCAACAAGAAGAAGAUCAACACCAGUGAGCCAGCUGAAAACUUCAAGAAUGGUGUGACAGCCUUGCUGCUCCUGCCCAGCUCGGAAGGAGGCGACAACAUUGUGGUCGGAGCUGGCGACGGAACGGUGGAAGUAGUCAAGGAAGUGACUGUCAGCGUGCCGAGCACUGGUCUGCUGAGGAACCCUUCCGAGCCACACCUCAGAAAGGUGAAGACCACCAACGUCGGAUCCAAGGUGACGUCCUUGAGGCUCUGCGGAGACUCGCUGCUGGUGGGCACGGAGCUGUGCGAGAUGUACACCGUCCACACGGACAGUUUCCAAGGGAAACUGCUUGCCACCUGCCACACGAACGCCAUCUUCAGCGUCACCUUCCCGCACAAUUACCCAAAGAAGUUUUUAACCAGCAGCAAAAAUGACAUUCGAGUGUGGGAAACAGAAACUUCGCGGGAGCUUAUCCGUAUUACCGUACAAAAUUUCAGUUGCACAUGUGUGCGACUUACAUAUGAUGGCAAGUCCAUCGUCAGUGGCUGGAACGACGGAUCCAUCCGCGCCUUCACCCCGCAGACGGGCCGGCUCAUCUACUUGAUCCACAACGCUCACCGGAGGGGCAUCUCGGCCCUGGCCGUGACGAGGCAGGGGCAGCAGCACGUGGUGACGGGAGGCUGCGACGGCCAGGUGCAAGUGUGGCGUAUCUCGCCCACGUCCCAGACGCAAGUGGGCGUGCUGAAGCAGCACAAGGCACCCGUGUCGAGCCUGCACCUGGCCCACACCGACACUACGGUCGUGAGCGCCAGCACUGAUGGCACGUGCAUCAUCUGGGACAUUGUCCGCCUGACGAGGCUGCAGACUCUCUUCUCCAACACGCAGUUCAUGUACGCCUGCUACAACCCGUCGGGCACGCAGGUCAUUACCGUGGGCAGCAACCGCAAGAUCGGCUACUGGGAGGUGUUUGACGGCUCCCUGGUCCGCGAGGUCGAGGGAUCCACCUCGUCCAGCCUGAACUGCGUGGACGUGAGCUCUGACGGCCGGCUCAUCGUCACCGGGGGGAACGACCAGAUCGUGAAGAUGUGGAAGUACCUGGAAGGCGUGUGCACGCACGUGGGGUUGGGCCACGCCGGCAUCAUCACCUCCGUCUGCUUCUCCCCCGACGACCAGUUUGUGACGAGCGUGGGCUCCGACGGCGGCAUAUUCCGCUGGAAGAACCCCGUCUGGAAGGUGGAGGAGCCCGCCGCAGGGGACGCCGGCGUCAGCCCGCCGGCCGAGGUCUCGGCGCAGGAACCAGUGGAGCAGACGGCAGCCACCGAGCCGGUUGCCGCCGCCGACGCGGGCUGUCCGGAGUUGGCCGGCCCGGUCGGGGACGGUAACCUCGCGUCCAGAGACGAGAGGAAGAGCGCCGGAAGCUCGAGGUGUUCCAUCAAGUCCUCGUCCAGCGCGAAGAGCGUGGCCAAGUCGGACAGCGGCAAGAGCCAGGCUCAGCGAUGCAACUGCAAACAAUAAAUCCAUUCCACGUGAUUAAAAAAAAAAAUUUCUAGUCUUCUAAGCUGUACGUACAAAUUUUUCAUCAGCAUGUUUUUUAAAGUUUUUAUAAGUUUUUACAAAUGUACCGUGUAUGUGAUAAAAUGUCUAGUACGGUGUUCCGAUUUGUACAUCAUUUUUUGAUGGGUAAUAUAUUGAGGGUUUGUCUUUUUCUGUGUGGUUAUGUGUGAAAGAUACUUGGAUGUAUAAACAUAAUGCAUUUGGUAAACCUCAGAUUUACCUUGUGAAAACGAGAUGCAGUGAUGUGUAACAUCAAGAUGCCUAGAAAUGUAUGGCAGGAAAACUUAUAGAUUUGGUUGCAUGCUGUUUUCAACACAUUGAUGUGAUGCUCUAGAAGAUUUUUUUUUAACCUGUAGAUGGCAUAGGGUGUGUGGCUAACUUGUUAAGACACAUCUGGGUUUCUUCCUUUGGAGUUAUGUCACUAGCAGUGUGUUCCAAAUACUAAUUAAUGGACUUUUAUCUAAAUACCCAUAUCAGGAGUUUCCUCAACUAUUCCUGCCGAAAUGCUCCACAGAAUAUAGCAAGAACUAUAGUAUUGUCUGAACAUUCUCCAUGCCACUAAGUUAAAAACUUAGAGUUUACUUUGAUGUGCCGAAGACUGCAUGCAGCUAGCUACAUUCAAGUUUACUUAACAUUCACUUUUCAAGAAUUCUUUAUGCUAGAGAGUCCUUUAAAGACUUUACGGAAAUGACAUAAAAUAAUAGAUUAUGAUACAGUACUAAUGAUUCUAAAAAAUAUGUGGAGAAAUUUACUAAUACAGGUCAUUUUUAAUUCAGUAUGCAAAAUUGUAAUGGAUCAACUUUGUUUUUACUGGUGGUAGAGAAACAUUUAGGUAAAAGAUAUCAUGGAAGCUGGCCAGUAAGAAAUCAAAUGUUUGGAAUCUAGUAGUGUAGAAAUUUUUUUUUAUCAAUAAUGAGUUUUUUGUGGGAGCUAAGGUAUGGUUGUGAAGAGUUCAGGUGAAGUACAGUGUAAUAUUAAAUAAAAAUAAGUGUGUGACAGAAUAUAAGAAAAGAAAUAAGUGAGAUAAAUUAAGGAAGAAGAGCAAGUUUAUGCAGUUGGCCUAAAGAGAGAUGGUAUGAGGUGAAGAGUAUAUGUUAGGGACCAUGGAGUUAAAGCAAUUUAAAUGAUUUGGUAGAUGGCAUUUCAACGUCAAUGAAGAUGACGUGUGCCCGACGACAAGGUUUGCGUCAAACUCUUCCUUGCACCACAUCUCUGUCACUACGUACUAUCCCGUGCCUGCCCGAGGUCUCAACUAUGCUGGCGGCCAGCAGUCGGCAGUGAACCACUGGCAUUCGAGGCACGCAGAGGAACCGUGGACACCCGCUGCAGCCUGCCUCUCCCCGUGGGAACAUGUACAAGUGAUAUCACCACUGCUGAAGACUCUGAGUGGUGUACCGAAAAGCAUUUAAGUGGGUUUUUUUAUUAUUGUUUUUAGUAGGUAGAGUAAAGAUGUCUUUUUUGUCCUAUGCAUGAUGAUAGAACUGCAAUAGUAGCAGCACACAUGAGUUUUAUUUAUUUUUAUAUAUAUAUAUAUAUGAGAUACAAUAUGUCAAUCAUUCUAAUUGUACAUUCUAUAUUAAAUAUGGACAGAAGGUCACAAAUACUAAAUAGGGUAGACUGAAAGUAGAUAAAACUUUCUGUGUUGAGUGUAUACACAUAAACAUCCUUGUUUUAGUUUAUUUAAAAAACAAAUAAAAUAGUAUUAACGUAAUAAGGUUUAACUGAAGUACUACCCUCUUUUAUCGCAUAAUCGUCGCACCUAUAUUUUUUGGCCGUCAAAAUUGGGAUAAAAAAACUUCUGGCGCAAACGUCGAAUUAUGUUUUUGGUCCCGCUAUUAGAUGCCGAGCGCUUUGUGUAGGUGUCUUUACCGUAUCAAACUAUGUAUUUUAAAGUCAAAAUCUAAUGUUUAUUCGGACAUUACCACUUACUUAGUAUUUAAUAAACGGAAAUACGAAGUUGUCUGACUUGUAAAUUUUCUUUUAAAGACGUUUUUAAAAGUUAUUUCCUUUUUCUGAUUGUCUGCGUCGCCGCGGUGUACCGCUUUGUAAACAUGUAACCAGUGUUAGUUGGCAUCAUUCAUGUUUGGUUAUGUUGUUUCCCGUAUAGAGCGUGCGCACGUAGUCGAAUAUCGAUAUCUCGCCGAUUGCAUGCAACGCGGGCUCUGUCAGGUGCCGAGUUAACUACAUUUGACGGCCCGCACUCUUUCAUGGCAAGUUACGCGUUAGUUCACGUCAGAGGUUCAAGUGGCUUACGUUUGCGUCACAGUUUGGUUUUUCUAUUUAAAGUUGAAGAAAGGUUUUUGUUUAAUGAAUUAUUAAUAUAAAUUGUUUGGCGUGCUCUUGUAUACUCCACCUUUUUUAAAUAAAAACAAAACCUGUUCAUGGAAAGUAAGUUUAUGAAUAAUUUUACCUAAACAAAUUUUUUUUUUCCACAUAAUCGUCGCACCCCUUCUUUUCAAACUUGAUUUUAGAAUAAAAUGUGCGACGAUUAUACGAGAAAACAUGGUGUUGUGUACUUAUUUUUGAAUAAAGUAGUUUCAUAAAAUUUAGAUGCACAAAAUUUUAAAUGCAUAGUAGUUAACUGCAUUCUGCUGAUAACUUGCUGGAAAAUCAUUCAGGCUGUCUUGCAGCCUUGCAGCCUUGCAGCUAGAAUGUUACAGAGUAUUUAAUAUUGUUUUUUAAUAUUUUGUUUUAUUUUAAAACGAUGUUUGAAUUGUUUAUUUUGUUGUUUAAAUUGAUUACAGUGUAUUAUCGCAGUUAAUUUAGGAUCUAAAAAUUUUGAGAAAAAAUCUCGCAAAUGUGGCAUGAUGUUUUUGGUCCUGCUGUUAGAUUCUUGGCUCUGUGUCUAGGUUAUAAACAUGACAGGAUAAAGCACGGGUGAACAACAUUUGGUUUUCAAGUUGCUUUCGGACACUUUUUUAGUUAUGAUGGGAAAAUAUAGUAUUACAAUUAAAAUGAACUGCCAUAAUAUGGUCAAUGUUUUAAGUCUAGCCAUUUGCUCAAUAUAUGUUAUUUUUCCCAUGUAAAAUGCAGACAAAGUUUUUUUCCAUAUAAAAUUAUGUAUUUUAAAGUUUAAAUCUAUAAUUAGUUAUGCUUUCCAGCUCAUGUUAGGUUUACAGUUUUUUCUCUAUUUGAUAAAGUAAAUAAGUCUUUGUUGCAUCCUUUUUUUAUACUUGCAAUAUGUAUUGUUUUUGAUUGUUUCAAAUGUGAUGUUAAUCUAAAAUGUUUAAAGAUUAUGCAAUGAAACACUGUGGUAAAGACUAAAGAGAAAUGAUUCUAACAUGUGUGGACAGCCAAGCAUUGAAUGUUUGUUUUCAUUAAGAAUGUUAGGUGACCCUUGAGUACUUUUUGAUGAACAUAAAAAAAAUUUUUUGUGAAACAUGUAACAAACAACUUGUA